Molecule: non-coding RNA, 73 nt
Organism: Bos taurus (domestic cattle)
Lineage: Eukaryota; Metazoa; Chordata; Mammalia; Artiodactyla; Bovidae
Source: Rfam
UCCCUGGAAGUCCAGUGGUUAGGACUCAGUGCUUUCACUGCCGUGGGCCUGGGUUCAAUCCCUGGCCAGGGAA